GACGAACGCUGGCGGCGUGCUUAACACAUGCAAGUCGAACGAUGAAGCCGGAGCUUGCUCUGGUGAAUUAGUGGCGAACGGGUGAGUAACACGUGAGUAACCUGCCCUUGACUCUGGGAUAACUGCGGGAAACUGUAGCUAAUACCGGAUACGACCCUCGGAGGCAUCUCCUGGGGGUGGAAAGAAUUUCGGUCAAGGAUGGACUCGCGGCCUAUCAGCUAGUUGGUGAGGUAAAGGCUCACCAAGGCGACGACGGGUAGCCGGCCGGAGAGGGUGACCGGCCACACUGGGGCUGAGACACGGCCCAGACUCCUACGGGAGGCAGCAGUAGGGAAUAUUGCACAAUGGGCGCAAGCCUGAUGCAGCAACGCCGCGUGAGGGAUGACGGCCUUCGGGUUGUAAACCUCUUUUAGCAGGGAAGAAGCGAAAGUGACGGUACCCGCAGAAAAAGCACCGGCUAACUACGUGCCAGCCGCCGCCGUAA
Molecule: ribosomal RNA, 484 nt
Filed under: uncultured bacterium
Lineage: Bacteria
Description: partial 16S ribosomal RNA
Rfam family: Bacterial small subunit ribosomal RNA
Source: RNAcentral